RNAcentral lists this long non-coding RNA (717 nucleotides) under Dermacentor andersoni. Its description in RNAcentral is "uncharacterized LOC126516526". The record is from RNAcentral. Lineage: Eukaryota; Metazoa; Arthropoda; Arachnida; Ixodida; Ixodidae.
AUGGUGCAUCCAGACGAAGGACCGAAUCCGGAUUUUUAGCGGACGCGGACGACUAUGCCACGGACCGUCCGGAAGCAAGCGCAUCCACACGGCGGACAAGGCCCUAGCGGACGACAGCGCCACAGAGCCGGAUUACUCUCGACCGCAGCCUCUGCGCUGCCUAGCAGCAGUCUGGUCUGAGAGUUUCUUCCGCGAAUUGUGAGAGUGUUCGACAAAAUGGAGGCCGGCAGAAAGCGACGUUUGGCCGCGAUGGCUGUUGUUGUCAGAGAUUGACGAGGACUUUGAUUUGCUUCCACGAAAACGGCAUUGUUGGCGGAAAGACUGGGUGGGAAGGAAAAAAUUGGGGAUCCAGAACCUGCUCUACGAAGAGCUCCUGAAGACUGACCUCGACGAAUACCGGAGGCUACUUCGUGUAAGCAGAGAGCAGUUUCUGCAACUGCUGUCACGCGUGGGGCCCCGCAUACGAAGGGAGGAUACCGUUAUGCUCCGUUCUAUAUCGGCGGAAACACGGCUGCAGGUGACACUGCGGUACCUUGCUUCAGGAGAGAGUCACUAUUCCCUGAGCCGACAGUUUAGGCUCGGUCAUUCAAGUGUGAAUGACAUUAUACAUGAAACAUGUAUUGCCAUUUACGAGGAACUGGGAAGCAACUUUAUAAGAACACCCCGCACGGAGGAGGAAUGGAAAUAUGUGAAAUAAAAGGCGGCGUCAUCGCACAA